UACAGAGGUCCCAAGCGUUGUUCGGAUUCACUGGGCGUAAAGGGUGCGUAGGCGGUCGGGUAAGUCUGAUGUGAAAUCUCACAGCUUAACUGUGAAACUGCAUUGGAUACUAUCCGGCUCGAGGAAUGGAGGGGAGACUGGAAUACUUGGUGUAGCAGUGAAAUGCGUAGAUAUCGAGAGGAACACCUGUGGCGAAGGCGGCCUUCUGGACAGUGACUGACGCUGAGACGCGAAAGCGUGGGGAGCAAACAGG
This 253-nucleotide ribosomal RNA is filed under the name uncultured bacterium. RNAcentral describes it as "partial 16S ribosomal RNA". It matches the Rfam family "Bacterial small subunit ribosomal RNA", at positions 524 to 776 of the family's 1533-position model. The record is from RNAcentral.